UACGUAGGGGGCGAGCGUUGUCCGGAUUUAUUGGGCGUAAAGAGCUCGUAGGCGGCUUGGCAAGUCGGGUGUUAAACCCUCAGGCUCAACCUGGGGCCCACCCGAUACUGCUGUGACUAGAGUCCGGUAGGGGAGACUGGAAGUUCCUGGUGUAGCGGUGAAAUGCGCAGAUAAUCAGGAGGAACACCGGUGGCGAAGGCGGGUCUCUGGGCCGAUGACUGACGCUGAGGAGCGAAAGCGUGGGGAGCGAACAGG
Molecule: ribosomal RNA, 255 nt
Filed under: uncultured bacterium
Lineage: Bacteria
Description: partial 16S ribosomal RNA
Rfam family: Bacterial small subunit ribosomal RNA
Source: RNAcentral